GGGUUGACGGCGUGGUGGGCGCUGGCCGGUUACGGACCGGCCGUCUCCCAGCCCUCCGAGGAGGCUGUUCCACGAUGACCGUCACCCCUCC
RNAcentral lists this transfer RNA (91 nucleotides) under Streptomyces capitiformicae. RNAcentral's name for it is "tRNA-Arg". The record is from RNAcentral. Lineage: Bacteria; Bacillati; Actinomycetota; Actinomycetes; Kitasatosporales; Streptomycetaceae.